UCCCUGGAGGACUAGUGGUUAGGCCUCGGCACUCUCACCUCCAUGGCCCAGGUUUGAUUCCCGGCCAGGGAA
Molecule: transfer RNA, 72 nt
Filed under: Pangasianodon gigas (Mekong giant catfish)
Lineage: Eukaryota; Metazoa; Chordata; Actinopteri; Siluriformes; Pangasiidae
Description: tRNA-Glu
Rfam family: tRNA
About the family: Transfer RNA (tRNA) molecules are approximately 80 nucleotides in length.
Source: RNAcentral